Molecule: ribosomal RNA, 305 nt
Filed under: uncultured bacterium
Lineage: Bacteria
Description: bacterial SSU rRNA
Rfam family: Bacterial small subunit ribosomal RNA
Source: RNAcentral
UUUGGCCUACGGGGCGCAGCAGUGGGGGAUAUUGCACAAUGGGGGAAACCCUGAUGCAGCGACGCCGCGUGGGCGAAGAAGUAUUUCGGUAUGUAAAGCCCUAUCAGCAGGGAAGAAGAAAUGACGGUACCUGAGUAAGAAGCACCGGCUAAAUACGUGCCAGCAGCCGCGGUAAUACGUAUGGUGCAAGCGUUAUCCGGAUUUACUGGGUGUAAAGGGCGCGUAGGCGGACUGUCAAGUCAGUCGUGAAAUACCGAAGCUUAACUUCGGGGCUGCGAUUGAAACUGACAGCCUUGAGUAUCGGG